ACCGCCAGCUAAGGUCCCAAAGUCAUGGUUAAGUGGGAAACGAUGUGGGAAGGCCCAGACAGCCAGGAUGUUGGCUUAGAAGCAGCCAUCAUUUAAAGAAAGCGUAAUAGCUCACUGGUCGAGUCGGCCUGCGCGGAAGAUGUAACGGGGCUAAACCAUGCACCGAAGCUGCGGCAGCGACGCUGAUGCGUUGUUGGGUAGGGGAGCGUUCUGUAAGCCUGUGAAGGUGGCCUGUGAGGGUUGCUGGAGGUAUCAGAAGUGCGAAUGCUGACAUAAGUAACGAUAAAGCGGGUGAAAAGCCCGCUCGCCGGAAGACCAAGGGUUCCUGUCCAACGUUAAUCGGGGCAGGGUGAGUCGACCCCUAAGGCGAGGCCGAAAGGCGUAGUCGAUGGGAAACGGGUUAAUAUUCCCGUACUUGGUGUUACUGCGAAGGGGGGACGGAGAAGGCUAUGUUGGCCGGGCGACGGUUGUCCCGGUUUAAGCGUGUAGGUGUGUGUUCCAGGUAAAUCCGGUUCACUUUAACACUGAGGCGUGAUGACGAGGCACUACGGUGCUGAAGCAACAAAUGCCCUGCUUCCAGGAAAAGCCUCUAAGCAUCAGGUAACAUCAAAUCGUACCCCAAACCGACACAGGUGGUCAGGUAGAGAAUACCAAGGCGCUUGAGAGAACUCGGGUGAAGGAACUAGGCAAAAUGGUGCCGUAACU
This 705-nucleotide ribosomal RNA is filed under the name Salmonella enterica. Its description in RNAcentral is "partial 23S ribosomal RNA". It matches the Rfam family "Bacterial large subunit ribosomal RNA", at positions 1031 to 1735 of the family's 2925-position model. Lineage: Bacteria; Pseudomonadati; Pseudomonadota; Gammaproteobacteria; Enterobacterales; Enterobacteriaceae. The record is from RNAcentral.